This 253-nucleotide ribosomal RNA is filed under the name uncultured bacterium. RNAcentral describes it as "partial 16S ribosomal RNA". It matches the Rfam family "Bacterial small subunit ribosomal RNA", at positions 524 to 776 of the family's 1533-position model. The record is from RNAcentral.
UACGUAGGUGGCAAGCGUUACUCGGAAUCACUAGGCGUAAAGCGCAGGUAGGCGGUUUGAUAAGUCUGUUGUGAAAGCUCCCGGCUUAACUGGGAGAGGUCAACGGAAACUGUCAAGCUAGAGUGUGGUAGAGGUAGCUGGAAUUCCCGGUGUAGCGGUGAAAUGCGCAGAUAUCAGGAGGAACACCUAUUGCGAAGGCAGCUCGCUGGGACGUAACUGACGCUGAGACGCGAAAGCGUGGGGAGCAAACAGG